CCGAGCCCGUUAGAGAGUACGGGGCGUUCGCAGCCUCCCUUAGUCCGCCAACGUGCUGCAUAUCAGACCUUUCUCGAGCAUAGGCAUAUUGAGGUGAGGGAGUACUUGCAACGAGUGAAGGCAAAUGAUGAUUACAGCCGUCAAGUGAUGGCGGCUAUGUUGGCGUCUUGGACUAACCGC
Triticum aestivum (bread wheat) is the source of this 180-nucleotide long non-coding RNA. RefSeq lists it as uncharacterized. The record is from RefSeq and is a predicted model, not a curated record. The transcript is spliced from 3 exons. Lineage: Eukaryota; Viridiplantae; Streptophyta; Magnoliopsida; Poales; Poaceae.